GACGAACGCUGGCGGCGUGCUUAACACAUGCAAGUCGAACGGAAAGGCCCUGCUUUUGUGGGGUGCUCGAGUGGCGAACGGGUGAGUAACACGUGAGUAACCUGCCCUUGACUUUGGGAUAACUUCAGGAAACUGGGGCUAAUACCGGAUAGGAGCUCCUGCUGCAUGGUGGGGGUUGGAAAGUUUCGGCGGGUGGGGAUGGACUCGCGGCUUAUCAGCUUGUUGGUGGGGUAGUGGCUUACCGAGGCUUUGACGGGUAGCCGGCCUGAGAGGGUGACCGGCCACAUUGGGACUGAGAUACGGCCCAGACUCCUACGGGAGGCAGCAGUGGGGAAUAUUGCACAAUGGGCGGAAGCCUGAUGCAGCAACGCCGCGUGCGGGAUGACGGCCUUCGGGUUGUAAAGCGCUUUCGCCUGUGACGAAGCGUGAGUGACGGUAAUGGGUAAAGAAGCACCGGCUAACUACGUG
RNAcentral lists this ribosomal RNA (468 nucleotides) under uncultured bacterium. RNAcentral describes it as "partial 16S ribosomal RNA". It matches the Rfam family "Bacterial small subunit ribosomal RNA", at positions 28 to 507 of the family's 1533-position model. The record is from RNAcentral.